RNAcentral lists this transfer RNA (72 nucleotides) under Pavlovales sp. CCMP2436. Its description in RNAcentral is "tRNA-Asp". It matches the Rfam family "tRNA". Rfam says of the family: Transfer RNA (tRNA) molecules are approximately 80 nucleotides in length. Their secondary structure includes four short double-helical elements and three loops (D, anti-codon, and T loops). Further hydrogen bonds mediate the characteristic L-shaped molecular structure. tRNAs have two regions of fundamental functional importance: the anti-codon, which is responsible for specific mRNA codon recognition, and the 3' end, to which the tRNAs corresponding amino acid is attached (by aminoacyl-tRNA synthetases). tRNAs cope with the degeneracy of the genetic code in two manners: having more than one tRNA (with a specific anti-codon) for a particular amino acid; and 'wobble' base-pairing, i.e. permitting non-standard base-pairing at the 3rd anti-codon position. The record is from RNAcentral. Lineage: Eukaryota; Haptophyta; Pavlovophyceae; Pavlovales.
UCACUGAUAGUAUAGUGGUAAGUAUCCCCGCCUGUCACGCGGGAGACCCGGGUUCAAUUCCCGGUCAGUGAA